CCUCCUCGACGUCAUCAUGGCCUCUUAAAGAGGCUCUCCUCAUGUUACUUUCAGGCAAAUGAUCCCCAAGAUGGAUCCAACUCUUGCCCCAGCCCCUCAUCUUGCUUGAUUCUUGCCCCCUGGGCCUUCAUACCCCACAUACCAUUUAACCUGCAGAGCUUGGCUGCUCCAUGCUAAGUCCUGGACCCCAUCCCCAGCUUUCUCCGCCAUGUGCCCGCGGGAGGCGCGAGCCUCUUUCUGUGCUCCUAAGGAAGCUCUCUGGCUUUCACACCGAGCUUUUGAUCACCUACAAAUCACUCUGAGUUUUUUCUUUCUUCGAAGACUUAGUCGUGCUUAGCAACAGCCAAGCAAUUUCACUGUCCUUACAGUUUCUCCCUCCCUCCAUAUUUCUCAAACUCCUGGUAUAUGGAACCCACAAGUGAAUUCUUUUCCACCAGAACACCAACCAAGUCCAUCAGUGGUGGAGGUUUUAACAAUUUCAUUGUUACCUUGUGCUCCCCCUACCAGCGGUGAAGGGUCCUCCUUGCCAGCCAGGAGUCAGUGGGCCAGCACCGGAAUCCCAUCCUAGCAUCUGCUUUUAAGGUCCCACUCUUUUUUUUUUUUUUUUUGAGGAAGAUUAGCCCUGAGCUAACAUCUGCCAAUCCUCCUCUUUUUGCUGUGGAAGGCUGGCCCUGAGCUAACGUCCGUGCCCAUCUUCCUCUACUUCAUACGUGGGAUGCCUACCACAGCACAGCUUGCUGGGCGGUGCCGUGUCCGCACCCGGGAUCUGAACUGGUGAACCCCCCACCGCCGAAGCAGAACGUGCACACUUAACCGCUGCGCUACCAGGCAGGCCCCACUCUUGAUCCCAAUGGUCAUGGUGCGAGCUCCCUAGGGGGCAGACUUUGCGAUGCAGAUUAGCAUGCAGGAUGCUUAUCAGGGAGUACUCCCGGGAUCGACAUGCUGGAAGGGAAGGAAUGGACAUAGGGUCGAACAGAGAGAGAAACUGGACUUCAACACUGUCCCAAGUCUAGGCGAAGAAACUGGGCCUUUAAACACCCCACUGACCAACCAGGGAUGUGGGCCGCCCAGAAAGGAGGCAUGACCAUGAUCAAGAUGAUUCUCUUCAGCUGAGGAAAUUCCCAGAGAGGACUGACAGCUGAGGGCUGUCUGCUGGCAACACUCCCAGCAGCUGGGGUGUAAGUCUAUCCUGGAGGGACUAAUCACAACUCGUCACGGCAUCGACUGGACUGUGCGCACAGGUGCUGGCUGACCAUCGACCAGGGAAUGGUGAACAUUCUCUUCAGAUCAAUUCAGAUGUUUCAGUUAAGCAGGAAGCAAGUUCAUCUGUGGACGGAGAGAUGAGGAGCAUGCGCUGUGCCAGACACGGUCUAACUCAGACCCGGAAUGUGGGGCAGCCUCAGCAGGGCCUAGGAAGCAGACCCUGCUCUAGGGUGGGUCUGUUUGCAAACUGGGACGCACUCCCAAUUAGUCUUGAAACUUUGUGCUUGACUAUACUUUUCGGUACAACACCUAGCUGGAAAAAAGUAUAUCUGGAACAACUGGGGCAUGUAAAUCGACUUUUUCAACUGUAAUUUUUAUGAAGUUUAAACACAGAUCAAGUAUUCCUGAUAAAAAUGUCGCAUCCUGAUUGAGAUGUGCUGUAAGUGCAAAUUGCUAGAUUUCAAUGACUUAGUACGAGAAAAAGAAUGUAAAAUAUACCCUGAAGAAUUUUAAAACAUUGAUUACAUGUUGAAAUGAUAGUAUUUGGAUGUAUUGGG
This 1760-nucleotide long non-coding RNA is filed under the name Equus caballus (horse). Its description in RNAcentral is "lncRNA (ENSECAG00000050250.1)". The record is from RNAcentral. Lineage: Eukaryota; Metazoa; Chordata; Mammalia; Perissodactyla; Equidae.